CAACCAUCAAGCCUCAGGCUUGUGUUGGAGCCCUGCGGCCGCCCGCAGCCUCCUAAAACCAGUGGCGGGCUUGCAAACACCCCGAGCGCAGUAGUUUACUCUUCUCUCUGGCGUAUAGCAGGUUCCAGCCGUAAAACCACCCUAUAUUCUAA
Molecule: unclassified non-coding RNA, 152 nt
Filed under: uncultured Sordariales
Lineage: Eukaryota; Fungi; Ascomycota; Sordariomycetes; Sordariales
Description: sequence contains ITS2
Source: RNAcentral